AGGACGAACGCUGGCGGCGUGCUUCAUACAUGCAAGUCGAACGAGAAGCUGACUUCGGUCAGUGGAAAGUGGCGGACGGGUGAGUAAUAUGUAGAGAAUCUGCCCUUGAGUGGGGGACAACAGAGGGAAACUUCUGCUAAUACCCCAUAUGAGCUAACUUGAAAUAGUUAUCUUGAAAACUCCGGUGCUCAAGGAUGAGUCUGCAUCUGAUUAGCUAGUUGGCGGUGUAAUGGACCACCAAGGCGACGAUCAGUAGCUGGUUUGAGAGGAUGAUCAGCCACAAUGGGACUGAGACACGGCCCAUACUCCUACGGGAGGCAGCAGUAGGGAAUUUUGCGCAAUGGGCGAAAGCCUGAACCGCAGCAACGCCGCGUGAACGAUUAAGCCCUUCGGGGUGUAAAGUUCUGUCAGUAGGGACGAAUUUUGACGGUACCUACAGAGGAAGCACCGGCUAACUCCGUGCCAGCAGCUGC
This 473-nucleotide ribosomal RNA is filed under the name uncultured bacterium. RNAcentral's name for it is "bacterial SSU rRNA". It matches the Rfam family "Bacterial small subunit ribosomal RNA", at positions 26 to 518 of the family's 1533-position model. The record is from RNAcentral.